CAAAGCGGGUGCGUGUGUCAGAACCUGAGCUGUUGGUUCACGCCUCUGAGCAACUCCUUUGACUUUUUCCCUAGAUGUUUAGCGAUUAAGGAGUUUUUUUCGAAGCCCAAGUACAACCACAUUUUGAAGCCAGAAGACUGUCUGAACCGUGCACCAUCCUGCAGCUGGACACGAGAACCGUGCAGAUCACUGACCUGGAGACCGUGGAAGGCGAGCUGCACUUUGAGAUCAGGAAGGCCGGCACGCUGCAUGGAUUCACAGCCUGGUUCAGUGUCCGGUUCCAGAGCCUGGAGGAGGAGGAGCCGCAGCUGGUGCCAAGCACAGGCCCGUUUCACCCAACCACCCACUGGAAGCAGGUGCUGUUUAUGAUGGACGAGCCCGUGUCCGUGCUCUCGGGAGAUGUGAUCACAGGCUCGGUUGUGCUGCAGAGAAACCCCGUGUGGAGGAGGCACAUGUCCGUGGCGCUCAGCUGGUCCGUCACUUCCACACAAGACCCCACAUCGCAGAAAGUUGGAGAGAAGGUCUUUCCCAUCUGGAGAUGAUGGUGAAGUUGUGGGAGGCAGGUGCUGCAGGAACGAGCCCGGGCGGAGAUGCGCUUGGAUGUGAGCCCCCGUUCCUGUGGCCCGUGAGCUCCCCUGCCCGGCGGCGGGACACCCGUGUGCGUGUGCGCUCCCUUCCUCGGGGCCUCCACAGGCGCCGCGUGGGGCUCGGCUGGGACCCCUCACCCCUGUCACUGCCCGUGUCUGUGCUCUAGAAGUAGGCUAUGUCCCCAGGUGUCCACAGUCUGGCUCGUGGCCGAGUCGGUGGCACCGUGUCCCUAAGCUAGGUCUAGACCUCAACUCGUAGGGCACACGCGCAUCAACCUCGUACUCCUGUGAAAGUGGCUGUUCACGCAUCAUGUGUCAUGGUGUCCUUGCUGCCUGGGUCCCUCCCUGUCGUGCGAAGGUGGGUGCCCCAAAGCCGUGCAGGGCCUGGAGGCGGCGAUGCAUGUGACGGGACUCUGCAUGGAUAGUACAGUCGUAGAGAUGUCUUCCACGUAAAUUAUGUGUUGGCGCAUAGCACAUACUCAAUAAAUGUUUUUAAAGAAA
Canis lupus familiaris (dog) is the source of this 1088-nucleotide long non-coding RNA. RefSeq lists it as uncharacterized. The record is from RefSeq and is a predicted model, not a curated record. The transcript has 4 exons. Lineage: Eukaryota; Metazoa; Chordata; Mammalia; Carnivora; Canidae.